GGGGGCGAAGUAACUAAAGAUCGACGAGCGGAGCGAGGCAAAAAAAAUUUGGGACCUUUUUUAGACUAAAAACAUAAAAUAAGUGUAAAAUGCAGUUUAAACAGUUCUUGACUUUGGGUAUGUAUAUUUUAUAGUUGCUGUAAAGUGUAAGAGUUGGACAUUUUUUAUGCCGUAUUCUCCACAUUAAUUGUCUAUUAUAAAAUGAUUGGAUGGAUUCAAAGCUAUGUACUAAUAUAUUUGAUUGGGACUUGCUAGUUAAAAAUGGACAUGGAAAAUUCUCGUUUGUUGUAUGUUUAGUUAGUAUCAAGAUAUACGCCGUGCUAUUCGAUGAAAUUUACAAUACGACCGACACGAGUUAAGAAACAAACAGACAAUUUUUAUCCAAAUGUGUGGUCGAAAUGUUUCCGCCAACAAGGGAAAUGAGGGGUUCCAAAUCAA
RNAcentral lists this long non-coding RNA (438 nucleotides) under Mytilus galloprovincialis (Mediterranean mussel). The record is from RNAcentral. Lineage: Eukaryota; Metazoa; Mollusca; Bivalvia; Mytilida; Mytilidae.